This 510-nucleotide ribosomal RNA is filed under the name uncultured bacterium. RNAcentral describes it as "partial 16S ribosomal RNA". It matches the Rfam family "Bacterial small subunit ribosomal RNA", at positions 28 to 507 of the family's 1533-position model. The record is from RNAcentral.
GACGAACGCUGGCGGCGUGCUUAACACAUGCAAGUCGAACGAAGAGCGAUGGAAGCUUGCUUCUAUCAAUCUUAGUGGCGAACGGGUGAGUAACGCGUAAUCAACCUGCCCUUCAGAGGGGGACAACAGUUGGAAACGACUGCUAAUACCGCAUACGAUCUAAUCUCGGCAUCGAGGAUAGAUGAAAGGUGGCCUCUACAUGUAAGCUAUCACUGAAGGAGGGGAUUGCGUCUGAUUAGCUAGUUGGAGGGGUAACGGCCCACCAAGGCGAUGAUCAGUAGCCGGUCUGAGAGGAUGAACGGCGACAUUGGGACUGAGACACGGCCCAGACUCCUACGGGAGGCAGCAGUGGGGAAUCUUCCGCAAUGGACGAAAGUCUGACGGAGCAACGCCGCGUGAGUGAUGACGGCCUUCGGGUUGUAAAGCUCUGUUAAUCGGGACGAAAGGCCUUCUUGCGAAUAGUGAGAAGGAUUGACGGUACCGGAAGAGAAAGCCACGGCUAACUACGUG